This 73-nucleotide transfer RNA is filed under the name Saccoglossus kowalevskii. Its description in RNAcentral is "tRNA-Tyr". It matches the Rfam family "tRNA". From Rfam's summary of the family: Transfer RNA (tRNA) molecules are approximately 80 nucleotides in length. Their secondary structure includes four short double-helical elements and three loops (D, anti-codon, and T loops). Further hydrogen bonds mediate the characteristic L-shaped molecular structure. tRNAs have two regions of fundamental functional importance: the anti-codon, which is responsible for specific mRNA codon recognition, and the 3' end, to which the tRNAs corresponding amino acid is attached (by aminoacyl-tRNA synthetases). tRNAs cope with the degeneracy of the genetic code in two manners: having more than one tRNA (with a specific anti-codon) for a particular amino acid; and 'wobble' base-pairing, i.e. permitting non-standard base-pairing at the 3rd anti-codon position. Lineage: Eukaryota; Metazoa; Hemichordata; Enteropneusta; Harrimaniidae. The record is from RNAcentral.
CCUUCGAUAGCUCAGUUGGUAGAGUGGAGGACUGUAGAUCCUUAGGUCGCUGGUUCGAAUCCGGCUCGAAGGA